GACGAACGCUGGCGGCGUGCUUAACACAUGCAAGUCGAACGGAAAGGCCCCCUUGUGGGGUACUCGAGUGGCGAACGGGUGAGUAACACGUGAGUAACCUACCCUUGACUUUGGGAUAACUUCUGGAAACUGGGGCUAAUACCGGAUAGGAGCUCCUGCUGCAUGGUGGGGGUUGGAAAGGUUCGGCGGUUGGGGAUGGACUCGCGGCUUAUCAGCUUGUUGGUGGGGUAGUGGCUCACCAAGGCUUUGACGGGUAGCCGGCCUGAGAGGGUGACCGGCCACAUUGGGACUGAGAUACGGCCCAGACUCCUACGGGAGGCAGCAGUGGGGAAUAUUGCACAAUGGGCGGAAGCCUGAUGCAGCAACGCCGCGUGCGGGAUGACGGCCUUCGGGUUGUAAACCGCUUUCGCCUGUGACGAAGCGUGAGUGACGGUAAUGGGUAAAGAAGCACCGGCUAACUACGUG
RNAcentral lists this ribosomal RNA (465 nucleotides) under uncultured bacterium. Its description in RNAcentral is "partial 16S ribosomal RNA". It matches the Rfam family "Bacterial small subunit ribosomal RNA", at positions 28 to 507 of the family's 1533-position model. The record is from RNAcentral.